GAUGAAGAACGUAGCGAAAUGCGAUAAGUAAUGUGAAUUGCAGAAUUCAGUGAAUCAUCGAAUCUUUGAACGCACAUUGCGCCCGCCAGCACUCUGGCGGGCAUGCCUGUUCGAGCGUCAUUUCAACCAUCAAGCCCCCAGGGGUUUGUGCUGGGGCCCUGCGGCUGCCCGCAGGCCCUGAAAACCAGUGGCGGGCUCGCUAGUCACACCGAGCGCAGUAGCACAUCUCGCUCAGGGCGUGCGGCGGGCUCCUGCCGUGAAACCCCCCACUGUAACCCCAAAGGUUGACCUCGGAUCAGGUAGGAAUACCCGCUGAACUUAAGCAUAUCAAUAAGCGGAGGA
This 342-nucleotide unclassified non-coding RNA is filed under the name soil metagenome. RNAcentral's name for it is "partial contains 5.8S ribosomal RNA, internal transcribed spacer 2, and large subunit ribosomal RNA". The stretch from base 1 to 120 matches the Rfam family "5.8S ribosomal RNA", at positions 35 to 154 of the family's 154-position model. The record is from RNAcentral.